This 253-nucleotide ribosomal RNA is filed under the name uncultured bacterium. RNAcentral describes it as "partial 16S ribosomal RNA". It matches the Rfam family "Bacterial small subunit ribosomal RNA", at positions 524 to 776 of the family's 1533-position model. The record is from RNAcentral.
GACAGAGGGUGCAAACGUUGUUCGGAAUUACUGGGCGUAAAGCGCGUGUAGGCGGCUUGGCAAGUCGGGUGUGAAAGCCCUGGGCUCAACCUAGGAAGUGCACUCGAAACUGCUUCGCUUGAGUGUCGGAGAGGAAAGCGGAAUUCUCGGUGUAGAGGUGAAAUUCGUAGAUAUCGAGAGGAACAUCGGUGGCGAAGGCGGCUUUCUGGACGAUUACUGACGCUGAGACGCGAAAGCGUGGGGAGCAAACAGG